ACGGGAGGCAGCAGUGGGGCAUAUUGCACAAUGGGGGAAACCCUGAUGCAGCAACGCCGCGUGAAGGAUGAAGGCCCUUGGGUCGUAAACUUCUGUUCUAAGGGAAGAUGAUGACGGUACCUUAGGAGCAAGUCCCGGCUAACCACGUGCCAGCAGCCGCGGUAAUACGUAGGGGGCAAGCGUUAUCCGGAAGUAUUGGGAGUAAAGAGUACGUAGGCGGUUUCCUAAGCAUGGGGUUUAAGGCAAUGGCUUAACCAUUGUUCGCCCCAUGAACGGGGUUACUUGAGUGCUGGAGAGGAAAGCGGAAUUCCUAGUGUAGCGGUGAAAUGCGUAGAUAUUAGGAGGAACACCAGUGGCGAAGGCGGCUUUCUGGACAGUAACUGACGCUGAGGUACGAAAGUGUGGGGAGCAAACAGGAUUAGAUACCCUGGUA
Molecule: ribosomal RNA, 433 nt
Filed under: uncultured Anaerovorax sp.
Lineage: Bacteria; Bacillati; Bacillota; Clostridia; Peptostreptococcales; Anaerovoracaceae
Description: bacterial SSU rRNA
Rfam family: Bacterial small subunit ribosomal RNA
Source: RNAcentral